UUUAGUAAAGUAAUCAGUUGCUUGGAUAAUGAACUCAUGGCUCUUUGAGGAGAUGGAUAAAUUUGACCAAUCAAGUCCAUUGCUUAUCCUCUAAAUGGCCAAGAUUUUAUCACAAAUUGCAUCGCUAUUGUAGAAAUUCUUUGUGACGUGCUUGAUAGCCCUUAGCGUACCAAAUCCAAUGUCCUACAUCUUUGGCUAGAAAUAUCCAUGUCAAAUAAUUAACCAAUACAUUAUUGGCCCUGCUUGAUUGAUGAGCCCCACAUAUUCAUUCAUGGACUUCUUCC
RNAcentral lists this long non-coding RNA (284 nucleotides) under Elaeis guineensis (African oil palm). RNAcentral describes it as "long non-coding RNA (EGUI_LNC003855)". Lineage: Eukaryota; Viridiplantae; Streptophyta; Magnoliopsida; Arecales; Arecaceae. The record is from RNAcentral.